UUAUGCUAAUAAGAGCGUAUGGUGGAUGCCUUGGCACUAAGAGCCGAUGAAAGACGUGAUAAGCUGCGAAAAGCUUCGGGGAGGAGCAAAUAUCCUGAGAUCCGGAGAUAUCUGAAUGGGGAAACCUACUUGAGAAGACCUCAAGUAUCCACAGCCCAAUCCAUAAGCUGUGGAAGGGAACCCGGUGAACUGAAACAUCUAAGUAGCCGGAGGAAGAGAAAACAACAUGUGAUUCCGUAAGUAGCGGCGAGCGAACGCGGAAGAGCCCAAACCGGAGUGCGUGCACUCCGGGGUUCGGACUGCAGGAUUGACGAGUGAGCCUAGUAGAAUGGUUUUGGGAAAGCCAGCCAGAGAGGGUGAAAGCCCCGUACACGAAAGGCAAGCGAGCAUGGCAGGAUCCAGAGUACCACGAGACACGUGAAACCUUGUGGGAAUGAGCGGGGACCACCCCGUAAGGCUAAAUACUCCUUAGUGACCGAUAGCGCAUAGUACUGUGAAGGAAAGGUGAAAAGGACCCCGGGAGGGGAGUGAAAGAGAACCUGAAACCAUAUGUUUACAAGCUGUGGAACAUCUUUAUAUGAUGAACCGCGUACUUUUUGUAGAACGGUCCGGCGAGUUACGCUGGCUGGCGAGGUUAAGGGCUGAAGGCCUGGAGCCGAAGGGAAACCGAGUCUGAACAGGGCGAAAUAGUCAGUCGGAGUAGACCCGAAACCGGGUGAUCUAUCCAUGUCCAGGUUGAAGUUGCCGUAAAAGGCAAUGGAGGACCGAACCCACAUCCGUUGAAAAGGGUGGGGAUGAGGUGUGGAUAGGGGAGAAAUUCCAAUCGAACCCGGAGAUAGCUGGUUCUCCUCGAAAUAGCUUUAGGGCUAGCCUCAUGCAAGUCUUACGGAGGUAGAGCACUGAAUUCCUAAGGGGGCGUCAAAGCUUACCAAGGGAUAUCAAACUCCGAAUGCCGUGUAGAUGGUGCAUGGGAGUCAGACUAUCCGAGAUAAGUUGGGUAGUCAAAAGGGAAAGAGCCCAGACCUACAGCUAAGGUCCCAAAAUGUGUGUUAAGUGGAAAAGGAUGUGGGAUUUCGAAGACAACUAGGAUGUUGGCUUAGAAGCAGCCAUCCAUUAAAAGAGUGCGUAAUAGCUCACUAGUCGAGAGGUCCUGCGCCGAAAAUGUCCGGGGCUGAAACACACUACCGAAGCUUGGGAAUUGACGAAUGUUAAUUGGUAGAGGAGCAUUCUUAACGGGGCGAAGCUGUACCGGAAGGAGCAGUGGACUGUUAAGAAGAGAGAAUGCCGGAAUGAGUAGCGAGAGGAAGGUGAGAAUCCUUCCGGCCGAAUAUCUAAGGUUUCCAGAGUAAAGCUGAUCUGCUCUGGGUAAGUCGGGGCCUAAGGCGAGGUCGAAAGACGUAGUCGAUGGAUAACAGGUAAAGAUUCCUGUACUGUAUCAUAACAGAACUGUGGGGACGCAGACAGAGAGCAUAAGCCGGGAAUGGAAAGACCGGUACAAGCGAGGUAGGAGUGCAUCAGGCAAAUCCGGUGCACAAUCUGAAGACGUGAUGUGGGGCGUAAAGCCGGAAGUAUGUGAGCUGGCUGCCAAGAAAAGCCGCUAUUGUUUAUGAUAUACCCGUACCGUAAACCGACACAGGUGGAUGAGGAGAGAAUCCUAAGGCCGACGGGAGAAGCAUUGUUAAGGAACUCGGCAAAAUGACCCCGUAACUUCGGGAGAAGGGGUGCUCUUAGAAAUAAGAGCCGCAGAGAAUUGGCCCAAGCAACUGUUUAGCAAAAACACAGGUCUAUGCAAAACCGAAAGGUGAGGUAUAUGGGCUGACGCCUGCCCGGUGCUGGAAGGUUAAGGGGAGAGGUUAGCCGUAAGGCGAAGCUUUGAACUUAAGCCCCAGUAAACGGCGGCCGUAACUAUAACGGUCCUAAGGUAGCGAAAUUCCUUGUCGGGUAAGUUCC
RNAcentral lists this ribosomal RNA (1950 nucleotides) under human gut metagenome. RNAcentral's name for it is "bacterial LSU rRNA". It matches the Rfam family "Bacterial large subunit ribosomal RNA", at positions 1 to 1984 of the family's 2925-position model. The record is from RNAcentral.